CGGGUGCGUAACACGUGAGCAACCUGCCGAUCUGAGGGGGAUAGCCGGCCCAACGGCCGGGUAAUACCGCAUACGUUCUCGAGGGGGAGUCUCCUUGAGAAGAAACCUCCGGGGCAGAUCGAGGGGCUCGCGGCCUAUCAGCUAGUUGGCGGUGUAACGGACCACCAAGGCGAUGACGGGUAGCUGGUCUGAGAGGAUGGCCAGCCACAUUGGGACUGAGAAACGGCCCAG
RNAcentral lists this ribosomal RNA (231 nucleotides) under uncultured bacterium. RNAcentral describes it as "partial 16S ribosomal RNA". It matches the Rfam family "Bacterial small subunit ribosomal RNA", at positions 103 to 334 of the family's 1533-position model. The record is from RNAcentral.